Molecule: ribosomal RNA, 481 nt
Filed under: uncultured bacterium
Lineage: Bacteria
Description: partial 16S ribosomal RNA
Rfam family: Bacterial small subunit ribosomal RNA
Source: RNAcentral
GAUGAACGCUGGCGGCGUGCUUAACACAUGCAAGUCGAACGAAGCACUUUAUUUGAUUUCCUUCGGGACUGAUUAUUUUGUGACUGAGUGGCGGACGGGUGAGUAACGCGUGGGUAACCUGCCUUGUUCAGGGGGAUAACAGUUGGAAACGGCUGCUAAUACCGCAUAAGCGCACAGCAUCGCAUGAUGCAGUGUGAAAAACUCCGGUGGUAUAAGAUGGACCCGCGUUGGAUUAGCUAGUUGGUGAGGUAACGGCCCACCAAGGCGACGAUCCAUAGCCGACCUGAGAGGGUGACCGGCCACAUUGGGACUGAGACACGGCCCAAACUCCUACGGGAGGCAGCAGUGGGGAAUAUUGCACAAUGGGCGAAAGCCUGAUGCAGCGACGCCGCGUGAGCGAAGAAGUAUUUCGGUAUGUAAAGCUCUAUCAGCAGGGAAGAUAAUGACGGUACCUGACUAAGAAGCACCGGCUAAAUACGUG